This 253-nucleotide ribosomal RNA is filed under the name uncultured bacterium. RNAcentral's name for it is "partial 16S ribosomal RNA". It matches the Rfam family "Bacterial small subunit ribosomal RNA", at positions 524 to 776 of the family's 1533-position model. The record is from RNAcentral.
GACGAACCGUCCAAACGUUACUCGGAAUUACUGGGCUUAAAGGGUGCGUAGGCUGCGCAGAAAGUUGGGUGUGAAAUCCCUCGGCUCAACCGGGGAAUUGCAUCCAAAACUACUGUGCUCGAGGUAGACAGAGGUAAGCGGAACUCAAGGUGGAGCGGUGAAAUGCGUUGAUAUCUUGAGGAACACCGGUGGCGAAAGCGGCUUACUGGGUCUCUUCUGACGCUGAGGCUCGAAAGCUAUGGUAGCAAACGGG